UGGGGAAUAUUGCACAAUGGGCGAAAGCCUGAUGCAGCGACGCCGCGUGAGGGAUGACGGCCUUCGGGUUGUAAACCUCUUUCAGCAGGGACGAAGCUUUUGUGACGGUACCUGCAGAAGAAGCACCGGCUAACUACGUGCCAGCAGCCGCGGUAAUACGUAGGGUGCGAGCGUUGUCCGGAAUUAUUGGGCGUAAAGAGCUUGUAGGCGGUUUGUCGCGUCUGCUGUGAAAACUCGGGGCUUAACUCCGAGCCUGCAGUGGGUACGGGCAGACUAGAGUAUGGUAGGGGAGACUGGAAUUCCUGGUGUAGCGGUGGAAUGCGCAGAUAUCAGGAGGAACACCGAUGGCGAAGGCAGGUCUCUGGGCCAUAACUGACGCUGAGAAGCGAAAGCAUGGGUAGCGAACA
Molecule: ribosomal RNA, 407 nt
Filed under: uncultured bacterium
Lineage: Bacteria
Also listed under: 1 other name
Description: partial 16S ribosomal RNA
Rfam family: Bacterial small subunit ribosomal RNA
Source: RNAcentral